CCUACGGGUGGCAGCAGUGGGGAAUAUUGGACAAUGGGGGCAACCCUGAUCCAGCCAUGCCGCGUGUGUGAAGAAGGCCCUCGGGUUGUAAAGCACUUUCAGUGAGGAAGAACGCCUGGUGGUUAAUACCCAUCAGGAAAGACAUCACUCACAGAAGAAGCACCGGCUAACUCCGUGCCAGCAGCCGCGGUAAUACGGAGGGUGCGAGCGUUAAUCGGAAUUACUGGGCGUAAAGCGCGCGUAGGUGGCUUGAUAAGCCGGUUGUGAAAGCCCCGGGCUCAACCUGGGAACGGCAUCCGGAACUGUCAAGCUAGAGUGCAGGAGAGGAAGGUAGAAUUCCCGGUGUAGCGGUGAAAUGCGUAGAGAUCGGGAUGAAUACCAGUGGCGAAGGCGGCCUUCUGGACUGACACUGACACUGAGGUGCGAAAGCGUGGGUAGCAAACAGGAUUAGAUACCCUGGUAGUC
RNAcentral lists this ribosomal RNA (465 nucleotides) under Vreelandella stevensii. RNAcentral describes it as "partial 16S ribosomal RNA". It matches the Rfam family "Bacterial small subunit ribosomal RNA", at positions 338 to 795 of the family's 1533-position model. Lineage: Bacteria; Pseudomonadati; Pseudomonadota; Gammaproteobacteria; Oceanospirillales; Halomonadaceae. The record is from RNAcentral.